GACGAACGCUGGCGGCGUGCCUAAUACAUGCAAGUCGAACGCAGUUGCGAACGGGUGAGUAACGUGUCGGUAACUGCCUCAUAGCGGGGGAUAACUAUUGGGAACGAUUGCUAAUUCCGCAUACUUUGACAUGGAUCUGCUUUGCUUUAGGUAGUUGGUGAGGUUAAGGGUCACCAAGGCGACGAUACAUAGUCGGCCUGAGAGGGUGAACGGCCAAAACGGGACUGAGACACGGCCCAGACUCCUACGGGGGGCAGCAAUAGGGAAAUUUUGGAAAUGGGCGGAAGGCUGGACGAGGAACGCCGCGGGAGAGAAGAAGGUUUUCGGAUCGGAAAGGUCCGUUGAUAGAGAAGCGGUAACUAACCAAAAAGCGACGGCUAACUACGUGCCAGCAGCCGCGGUAAUUC
This 407-nucleotide ribosomal RNA is filed under the name uncultured bacterium. Its description in RNAcentral is "partial 16S ribosomal RNA". It matches the Rfam family "Bacterial small subunit ribosomal RNA", at positions 28 to 526 of the family's 1533-position model. The record is from RNAcentral.